RNAcentral lists this unclassified non-coding RNA (785 nucleotides) under Hevea brasiliensis (rubber tree). Lineage: Eukaryota; Viridiplantae; Streptophyta; Magnoliopsida; Malpighiales; Euphorbiaceae. The record is from RNAcentral.
GAGGAACGUUAAAUAGGAACUGCUCGCUUUAAUUCUAAACUCCUGUGAAACAGGAACGUUAAACAGGAACGGGAGGAACCAUCCCGAACCCACCUUCAACUCACCCGUUGCCAUUCCUAAUCUCGAUGGGCCAAACUGAUACCAUGGAACCAGAAUACCAAACAAAAGUUGAGCAACUGUUUUGCCAUAAGCAAAAGCAAAAGGGAAGAAAAGCAUCCCUUAUCUAAAUUUGCCCUACUGAUAUCACAUUGUUUGCAUUAACAUUCUAAUCUCACCAUCAACUAAUCAAGAAAAGCAAAAAUUUCCAGGCAUUUAGAUUAACAAGUCAACACCCAUUACUUAAAUAAAUGAAAAGAAAAAGCUCUAGUAAAAUAACUCCAACAUCAUUUCAUAGGGGCUCAGCAUUAAGAGAAACAGAAAAGAAAAGGAAAACAAAUAUAUAAGUUUUACAAUUUACGUAUGCUGGGGCCAUAAACAUCUCAUUCUAGCUACCUGUGAAUGCCAAAGGGUCCUAAGUUGCCCAACUGAUUAUAUCAAACAUGGGAUACAACGUCAUGGGUCAUGACUCCUUAUUAUGAUCUUCAUCUCCUUCAUCAUCACCGUUCGUCUCGCUGCUGUGAUUAUAGUUUGCCAUCAUCACAACUUCAUGUGGGAAUUAAAGUUGCUCACACACACACCCUAAAUGGUGGCCAUGGAUGAUUUCUUGCGAAAGAGAAUUGAGUAAAGAAGAGAUUGCUGGGCUUUAAAGGAAUACUAAUUUGGUAUGUGGAGAGGGGAUCUUCCUG